Non-coding RNA from Microcebus murinus (gray mouse lemur), 776 nucleotides. Lineage: Eukaryota; Metazoa; Chordata; Mammalia; Primates; Cheirogaleidae. The record is from RefSeq and is a predicted model, not a curated record.
CACACUGUGGACUCUCUUCUUUGUUUUCUCAGGAAGGCAAUAUGCACGUGGUGAAUUAUAGCAAAGAACAUCCAACAGCUUGUUUUGUCAUAUGAUCCAUAGGAAGUAAAGUAAGGAAGAAAAGAAGGAAGAUGGGAAUGGCGGAGCAGGAAGCCAAGGCUGGAAGGAGCAGCUGAAACAGCCAUGUGCAUGGUGUUUCAUUCGAGAAGCCACAGAUGUUCAGCAGGAACUCUCUGAGAGCCUCGUUCUCAUCAGCCCUGAAAUCUGCACAGGCCUCCCUCAGCGCGUCAUGUCUUGGCAGGCGCUGUGUGCAGGUGUGGACGGGUCAUGUCUCCAUCCCUGUGGAGCCGGGAGCAAAGCAGCGAGACCUCACUGGGCUGUCCAAACGCAGCCUAGCCACAGAUUCCUGUGCGUGGCACCAGGCAGCACCAAAGACACUUAGGAGGGGCUGAAGGAAGCUCCCUGCUGCGGUUCAGCUGGCAAAUUCCACACAGGAGAUUGGCAACAAAAUGGAGAGUCAGGUCAGGCUGGAGAGAGAACCUUCUGGUGACAUCAAGAUGACCAGGCAUCUGGGGAAAGAAGCAUGCUUGGCCAGACCAUGCCAAGAGUCUGAAAGUGUCAGAGGCCGAGUCAGCCUAUUCCUGAGAGAGAGCAGACACUCUCAGAAUGACCUGUGUGGCUAGACUGCUGGGGACGCAGGAAUCGUCUGACACCCCCAGAAACUCUAUUGACGUAAAGUCCUGGAAACGCAGUCAGCUUUCCUCUGAGAGGAGCCA